UACAGGGCCAAUACAUUGUUGCUCUUGUUACAUUUGGUACAUCUAAUACAAUCUAAUAACCAUUAUCUGGGACACUCUCUCCUGCACAGCCAAGUGUUAAUUGUAGGUUGUGAUAAAUAAGAUGACUUCUGCCCCUAAAUAUUUUGGACUAAAAUAGAGCUCUUAACUGACUCUAAAAUGGAGAAAAAUAAGGAUUAAAGAGAGGAAGAUCAUUCUGGCCAUCAUGUGGAAGAUGAUGAAGAAAUGAUAAGCAAGGAGAUCAUGUGGGAGACUACAAGCACACGCCGCUAAGAAAUGAUAAGGACCUAACAAGGACAAUGAUAGAGUGAAUAGGAAGAAGAGGGCAAAAGGACUUUGUGAUUUAUUGGCUGCCCUGGGUGACAGAGAGGAGUGAAACAAUACUCCAAGGUGAUGUGGAAGAUAGUGUGGAUAAAGAGAACGGGAAUUUUAAAAAGGGAAAUGAUGUGUUCUGUUUAGUAUGUGUUACAUUUGAGGUGCCAGCAGGACAUCUGUAUAAAUAGCCAGAAAGAGGGGAGAUGAUUUCUGAACUGUCAGCUCCUUGUAGUAGCCAGGUAGAUGGUAGAGAGCAAUGGUCCCUAACAGGGUUGUGUGUCUAUGGGGAAGGGAAGAUGGGUUUGGCUUACUCAAAUUUGAGUAUGAAGUAAAUUACAACCACUUA
Molecule: long non-coding RNA, 679 nt
Organism: Canis lupus familiaris (dog)
Lineage: Eukaryota; Metazoa; Chordata; Mammalia; Carnivora; Canidae
Exons: 2
Source: RefSeq, a predicted model, not a curated record